RNAcentral lists this ribosomal RNA (406 nucleotides) under uncultured bacterium. Its description in RNAcentral is "partial 16S ribosomal RNA". It matches the Rfam family "Bacterial small subunit ribosomal RNA", at positions 30 to 526 of the family's 1533-position model. The record is from RNAcentral.
AUUGAACGCUGGCGGCAGGCCUAACACAUGCAAGUCGAGCGAGCGUCGGACGGGUGAGUAAUGUCUGGGAUCCUGCCUGAUUGAGGGGGAUAACUCCUGGAAACGGUAGCUAAUACCGCAUACCAUCAGAUGUUCCCAGAUGGGAUUAGCUAGUAGGUGGGGUAACGGCUCACCUAGGCGACGAUCCCUAGCUGGUCUGAGAGGAUGACCAGCACAACGGGAACGGAGAAACGGUCAAGACUCCUACGGGAGGAAGCAGUGGGAAAGAUUGGACAAUGGGCGAAAGCCUGAGCAAGCAAUGCCGCGUGGGUGAAGAAGGUCUUCGGAUGGUAAAGCACUUUAAGUUGGGAGGCGUUACCAACAGAAUAAGCACCGGCUAACUUCGUGCCAGCCGCCGCGGUAAUAC